AGUGAACGCUGGCGGUAGGCCUAACACAUGCAAGUCGAACGGCAGCACAGUAAGAGCCUGCUCUUACGGGUGGCGAGUGGCGGACGGGUGAGGAAUACAUCGGAAUCUACUUUUUCGUGGGGGAUAACGUAGGGAAACUUACGCUAAUACUGCAUACGACCUACGGGUGAAAGCAGGGGAUCUUCGGACCUUGCGCGAUUGAAUGAGCCGAUGUCGGAUUAGCUAGUUGGCGGGGUAAAGGCCCACCAAGGCGACGAUCCGUAGCUGGUCUGAGAGGAUGAUCAGCCACACUGGAACUGAGACACGGUCCAGACUCCUACGGGAGGCAGCAGUGGGGAAUAUUGGACAAUGGGCGCAAGCCUGAUCCAGCCAUACCGCGUGGGUGAAGAAGGCCUUCGGGUUGUAAAGCCCUUUUGUUGGGAAAGAAAAGCAGCAGGUUAAUACCCCGCUGUUCUGACGGUACCCAAAGAAUAAGCACCGGCUAACUUCGUG
RNAcentral lists this ribosomal RNA (492 nucleotides) under uncultured bacterium. RNAcentral's name for it is "partial 16S ribosomal RNA". It matches the Rfam family "Bacterial small subunit ribosomal RNA", at positions 29 to 507 of the family's 1533-position model. The record is from RNAcentral.